Molecule: long non-coding RNA, 220 nt
Filed under: Elaeis guineensis (African oil palm)
Lineage: Eukaryota; Viridiplantae; Streptophyta; Magnoliopsida; Arecales; Arecaceae
Description: long non-coding RNA (EGUI_LNC011990)
Source: RNAcentral
CGGCCCGGCCCAAGCGCUUGCAGGGUGCGGCCCGAGCCUACGCGCCCAACAUGGGCAUGGCCCAGGCCCGCACACACGGGCUGGCCUAGGCCCAGGCACCACUGGGGCCUAGUUUUCUCGGUCCACUGUGGACCUGGCGGUCCACGGUCGAGUCUGUGGACCGCGUGGGCAUUUCCCAACCAUUUCUCGCGGUCCACAGCACUAUUCCAUGGAUCGGUUG